Molecule: ribosomal RNA, 395 nt
Filed under: uncultured bacterium
Lineage: Bacteria
Description: partial 16S ribosomal RNA
Rfam family: Bacterial small subunit ribosomal RNA
Source: RNAcentral
AUACGUAGGGGGCGAGCGUUAUCCGGAAUUAUUGGGCGUAAAGAGUACGUAGGCGGUUCUGUAAGCGUGAGGUGAAAGCCCGGGGCUUAACUCCGGUAAGCCUUUCGAACUGCAGGACUUGAGUGCUGGAGGGGAAAGUGGAAUUCCUAGUGUAGCGGUGAAAUGCGUAGAUAUUAGGAGGAACACCGGUGGCGAAGGCGGCUAUCUGGACAGUAACUGACGCUGAGGCGCGAAAGCGUGGGGAGCAAACAGGAUUAGAUCCCCUGGUAGUCCACGCCGUAAACGAUGAAUACUAGGUGUGGGGGGACUGACCCCCUCCGUGCCGCAGUUAACACAAUAAGUAUUCCACCUGGGGAGUACGAUCGCAAGAUUGAAACUCAAAUGAAUUGGCGGGG